Molecule: ribosomal RNA, 402 nt
Filed under: Verrucomicrobiota bacterium
Lineage: Bacteria; Pseudomonadati; Verrucomicrobiota
Description: Verrucomicrobia bacterium partial 16S ribosomal RNA
Rfam family: Bacterial small subunit ribosomal RNA
Source: RNAcentral
UGGGGAAUUUUGCACAAUGGGGGAAACCCUGAUGCAGCGACGCCGCGUGAUUUAGAAGGCCUUCGGGUUGUAAAAAUCUUUUGUAUGGGAAGAAAAUGACAGUACCAUACGAAUAAGGACCGGCUAAUUACGUGCCAGCAGCCGCGGUAAUACGUAAGGUCCGAGCGUUGUCCGGAAUCAUUGGGCGUAAAGGGUACGUAGGCGGAUAAGCAAGUUAGAAGUGAAAUCCUAUAGCUCAACUAUAGUAAGCUUUUAAAACUGCUCAUCUUGAGGUAGGGAAGGGAAAGUGGAAUUCCUAGUGUAGCGGUGAAAUGCGCAGAUAUUAGGAGGAAUACCGGUGGCGAAGGCGACUUUCUGGCCAUAUACUGACGCUGAGGUACGAAAGCGUGGGUAGCAAACAGG